AUGAUACCUCAGCCUGAUGAAAGCGUAACUACCUUCACUGGGAAUCGCAUCUGGGAAGUUUUUUCACCUGGGCAAAUGAUGAAGGGUGAUGUAAUGGACUUCCUCAUUGAUGAUUGGAAGCAAGAUCUCCAGAGAAAUGCUGAUUUUGCAUCUGGGAAAAGGAUAUUGCUGAGUCCAUAUUUCAUCACGGUUGUGCUUGACUAUUCGUUUUACGGUGAUGAAAAUAAAGUGUGUAAUGUGGAGAGUGCAACGAGAGAAUUCAAGAUCUAUGUUAAAGAUAAGGAAGACUUGCUCAGUGCUGACCUUAUCAUGAUGCCUCUAUUCAAGCCUAUGGUUUUAGCAAAUGAUAAGAAAGUGAACCACUAUUCCUUAUAUGUCAUGAAUCGGUACCGAAGUAGCAUUGGCAUCCUUGACUCUUUACCUUAUCCGAAGAACCGCCGUCCUUCAUAG
RNAcentral lists this ribosomal RNA (450 nucleotides) under Triticum aestivum (bread wheat). RNAcentral's name for it is "partial small subunit ribosomal RNA". The record is from RNAcentral. Lineage: Eukaryota; Viridiplantae; Streptophyta; Magnoliopsida; Poales; Poaceae.